CACCCUCAUACCUCCCUGUUGGACUUGGCCGAGCUUAUGCUCGGCCUUUUUU
Molecule: non-coding RNA, 52 nt
Filed under: Rhodobacter ferrooxidans
Lineage: Bacteria; Pseudomonadati; Pseudomonadota; Alphaproteobacteria; Rhodobacterales
Description: Rhodobacter sp. SW2 Singlet oxygen resistance RNA X
Rfam family: Singlet oxygen resistance RNA X
About the family: SorX (RSs2461)like SorY is a singlet oxygen induced sRNA that counteracts oxidative stress by targeting mRNA for a transporter in Rhodobacter. It also has an impact on resistance against organic hydroperoxides.
Source: Rfam by way of RNAcentral